Molecule: long non-coding RNA, 2070 nt
Organism: Cygnus atratus (black swan)
Lineage: Eukaryota; Metazoa; Chordata; Aves; Anseriformes; Anatidae
Exons: 3
Source: RefSeq, a predicted model, not a curated record
CCGGAAAUUCCUCCGGCGGAGCGUGCCGGGCCGCCGCCCCUGCGCUGCCUUCACCCGGCGGCUCCGCCGUCCGCCGCUCCGCCGCGCAUCCGCCGCGCGUGACGGGCCCGUCCCCGAGCCCGGGCGGCCCGCAGCCCUCCGGAGCGGGGCUCUGGUAACGGGCGAGCCUUGCGGAGUCGCGAGCGGAGCUGCCCGCGGGGCGGGCCGUCACCGAGCGGCAUCGCCUCGCGCCCGGGCGCGCUGGGAAGCGCACGGGGGCCGCGGCGGCUGGCCUGGGACAGGACAUCGGGUGGUGGCGCGUGGGGGAGCGCGGUGGGAAGCGUGCGACGGCAUCGCUGUCUGCAGGGCCCCGGUGCCGGAACCUCAGCGGUUCCCGGGGAACUAAACGCGUCUGCCAGCGUGCGUGGAUAGUGGUGUGGGGAGCCAGACGAUCCAGAAAGCGAAGUCGGCCGGCAUAAAUGAGAUUACUCAGGCAGGCGUAAGCGUGCGUGUAUUAAAUAGGCACUUCACUGGAUGAAGCCUGUGGUAGCCUUCUCUCCAUGGAGCCUUAGAAAGCAGACACCACUAAGGAAGGAUGUAGAUCCCAGGUGUCCUUCCCCCGAGAGGUACUGUCCGCAGCACCACGAGACGAGCACCUUCUCUGCUGCAACUGGUUCCUGUAACAGCUGUAAGAGAGGAGCAGCUGGGGCCAGCGUGACGAGAGCAGCGUUCCUCUCCCCUCAAGCCAGCCCGGUGAGGACCUUGUGGUCUGGAGGCCUGCAUGUGCUGCGCACCCCGAGCACGCGGCCGCGCUGCGGCUCGCCUCGCCCCUCCGCCUGUCCGCGGAGCUGCCUGGGUGCCCCAGUUUCCUCUGGGGAACAUUUGUGCAUUUUAACAGUGUUUUAAGACUGGCAGAUUGCCUCUCAUCGCAUCAAAAAAGUGUGCUUCAUUUUGCUGGUUGGACCUAGGCCCUUAUAAGAACCCUUUCACAAUCCUGCACGAAGUGGAUCUUUAUUGUAGAUUUUCUUCUGAGUGCACUGAAUUUACCAGUUUGUUUAUGGUUGCAUUUGGCUUUGAAUAGGGCCAUGUUUCAUGAAGCAGUCUAUUAAAAAAAAAAAGCCAUUGGGUUACAUUUUCAUGUGUGUUAGUUCAAGAGCACAUGUAUGUAACGUGCGUGUUAGACUCAGAACCUGGACGAUGCUAUUUAAGGUCCAUUUGCAUUGCUAUUAAAAUGCUUCCGUAAUCAAAGCCACUGAUAGUUUAAACCCCCAGACGAGGCUGGCAGCUCCCAGUUGUGGUGCGAGGGGUGGCUGCGGUGUGCUGGAAGCGCCCAGCUGCAGCCAGCCCGCUUGUGGCCGGUCCCACCGCGCCGCCGCCGAUCAGCGGUGGAGCAGAAGGAGGGUGUAGACCUGACUGAACAAAUAAUGGUAAAAGUCUGUCUGAAGUGUGCUGUUUGGAAAUCCCAAAAUACUUAAGACCACUGCAGAAUAAUUUUACAAUGGCCUCUGUGAGUUAAUUUAGGCACCGUCUGUGCAUGCUGAUGCUCCAUGCUUGUGUUUUAAUUUGUUCACUGGAUUAAAUUUUAGUAGAUCUGUGGCACAGAUUCUGCCAUCACUUGCCCAUGACCAGGUUAUCUCAUGGAAAUACCGUGGUCUUUCAGAGGCACUGUGGGAGCUGGAAUUGGCUUUGGAGAGUUCCUCCAGGCUCCCGCAGCCCACGGCUUGGCUGUCUGCAGCAGAAGUAUUAUCGAGGAAAUUGAUUCCACAGCUGGGGGUGAAAACAAGGCUAGGAUAUUCCUACGGUCUUGGGGGAAGAAUCCUCUUGCUUGUUUUAUGGUUUGUUGUGUAUUCUGUGGCACAGGGAAGAGAAAAACUAAGAGCCUUUUCACAAAUAGACUGGAAUGGUGUGGAUGUUUAUACAAAGAUUUUUUUUCCCCAAUACUGAGUAAUUUUAAAAUACAUUAUUUUUGUAUAUGUAUAUUUACAUGUUAGAAUGUGGCUUUUCCACUUUUAUUUUUAUUUUUAGCACUCCAAAGCCUCCUGUUAAAUAAAUAAUGUACAAAACAUCUUUGAGAAGAUGGUUGUCUGGUUU